Molecule: ribosomal RNA, 522 nt
Filed under: uncultured bacterium
Lineage: Bacteria
Description: partial 16S ribosomal RNA
Rfam family: Bacterial small subunit ribosomal RNA
Source: RNAcentral
UGGGGAAUUUGGACAAUGGGCGAAAGCCUGAUCCAGCAAUGCCGCGUGUGUGAAGAAGGCCUUCGGGUUGUAAAGCACUUUUGUCCGGAAAGAAAUCCUUGGCUCUAAUACAGUCGGGGGAUGACGGUACCGGAAGAAUAAGCACCGGCUAACUACGUGCCAGCAGCCGCGGUAAUACGUAGGGUGCAAGCGUUAAUCGGAAUUACUGGGCGUAAAGCGUGCGCAGGCGGUUUGCUAAGACCGAUGUGAAAUCCCCGGGCUCAACCUGGGAACUGCAUUGGUGACUGGCAGGCUAGAGUAUGGCAGAGGGGGGUAGAAUUCCACGUGUAGCAGUGAAAUGCGUAGAGAUGUGGAGGAAUACCGAUGGCGAAGGCAGCCCCCUGGGCCAAUACUGACGCUCAUGCACGAAAGCGUGGGGAGCAAACAGGAUUAGAUACCCUGGUAGUCCAGCGCCCUAAAACGAUGUCAACUAGUUGUUGGGGAUUCAUUCCUUAGUAACGUAGCUAACGCGUGAAGUUGACC